Molecule: ribosomal RNA, 741 nt
Filed under: uncultured fungus
Lineage: Eukaryota; Fungi
Description: SSU rRNA
Rfam family: Eukaryotic small subunit ribosomal RNA
Source: RNAcentral
GUGCCAGCAGCCGCGGUAAUUCCAGCUCCAAUAGCGUAUAUUAAAGUUGUUGUGGUUAAAAAGCUCGUAGUUGAACCUUGGGCCUGGCUGGCCGGUCCGCCUCACCGCGUGCACUGGUCCGGCCGGGCCUUUCCCUCUGUGGAACCCCAUACCCUUCACUGGACGUGGCGGGGAAACAGGACAUUUACUUUGAAAAAAUUAGAGUGCUCCAGGCAGGCCUAUGCUCGAAUACAUUAGCAUGGAAUAAUAAAAUAGGACGCGCGGUUCUAUUUUGUUGGUUUAUAGGACCGCCGUAAUGAUUAAUAGGGACAGUCGGGGGCAUCAGUAUUCAACUGUCAGAGGUGAAAUUCUUGGAUCAGUUGAAGACUAACUACUGCGAAAGCAUUUGCCAAGGAUGUUUUCAUUAAUCAGGAACGAAAGUUAGGGGAUCGAAGACGAUCAGAUACCGUCGUAGUCUUAACCAUAAACUAUGCCGACUAGGGAUCGGACGGUGUUAUUCAUGACCCGUUCGGCACCUUACGAGAAAUCAAAGUGCUUGGGCUCCAGGGGGAGUAUGGUCGCAAGGCUGAAACUUAAAGAAAUUGACGGGAAGGGCACCACCAGGGGUGGAGCCUGCGGCUUAAUUUGACUCAACACGGGGAAACUCACCAGGUCCAGACACAAUAAGGAUUGACAGAUUGAGAGCUCUUUCUUGAUUUUGUGGGUGGUGGUGCAUGGCCGUUCUUAGAUGGUGGGGUGACU